GCCCCCUUAGUAUAAUCUGUACAAGUGACUUCCACUCACUAAGCCUUAGCAACCUACUAAGAGGGGGCA
This 69-nucleotide transfer RNA is filed under the name Crossobamon orientalis. RNAcentral's name for it is "tRNA-Gly". The record is from RNAcentral. Lineage: Eukaryota; Metazoa; Chordata; Lepidosauria; Squamata; Gekkonidae.